UGGGCGUAAGCGUGCGCAGGCGGUUAUGUAAGACAGAUGUGAAAUCCCCGGGCUCAACCUGGGAACUGCAUUUGAGACUGCAUGGCUAGAGUGUGGCAGAGGGGGGUGGAAUUCCACGUGUAGCAGUGAAAUGCGUAGAUAUGUGGAGGAACACCGAUGGCGAAGGCAGCCCCCUGGGAUAACACUGACGCUCAUGCACGAAAGCGUGGGGAGCAAACAGGAUUAGAUACCCUGGUAGUCCACGCCCUAAACGAUGUCUA
Molecule: ribosomal RNA, 260 nt
Filed under: uncultured bacterium
Lineage: Bacteria
Description: partial 16S ribosomal RNA
Rfam family: Bacterial small subunit ribosomal RNA
Source: RNAcentral